This 397-nucleotide ribosomal RNA is filed under the name uncultured bacterium. RNAcentral's name for it is "partial 16S ribosomal RNA". It matches the Rfam family "Bacterial small subunit ribosomal RNA", at positions 523 to 918 of the family's 1533-position model. The record is from RNAcentral.
AUACGUAGGGGGCGAGCGUUGUCCGGAAUGAUUGGGCGUAAAGGGCGCGUAGGCGGCCCGGUAAGUCUGGAGUGAAAGUCCUGUUUUUAAGAUGGGGAUUGCUUUGGAUACUGUCGGGCUUGAGGGCCGGAGAGGUAAGUGGAAUUCCCAGUGUAGCGGUGAAAUGCGUAGAGAUUGGGAGGAACACCAGUGGCGAAGGCGACUUACUGGACUGUAACUGACGCUGAGGCGCGAAAGUGUGGGGAGCAAACAGGAUUAGAUACCCUGGUAGUCCACACUGUAAACGAUGAAUGCUAGGUGUAGGGGGUAUCGACCCCUUCUGUGCCGCAGUCAACACAAUAAGCAUUCCGCCUGGGGAGUACGGCCGCAAGGUUGAAACUCAAAUGAAUUGACGGGG